CUCAAUUUUUUUAUCCGACCUUUCGGUGUCACAUUUUCCUAAACUGAGCUAAAAACAGGAAGCUCAUGUUCCCUAGUUAUGAGACUGAAAGAAACUAUCUGGCUUUAAUUGUCUCAUGGUUAUCGCAAGACUCGUGAUAAUUAUCUCACAGACAUGCUAAUAAUGGUGUGAACGGGCCCAGCGUUUCCCAGGGCAACCGUAAAAGACUCCCGCCCACGGACCGCUCUGAUUGGUUCCGGUACUCAGCGGAGUGUAGGAUUGGCUUAUACAGCUGCCAGUCUUCUCAACGAGUAGCAUUAUUUUGACCGUCUAUUCCCUGAGGAAAGCAGCAGGGUGAAGUGGAAGAGUAGAGUGGAAGAUAAGACGUUGUCUUACAAAACAGCUGGGCUCUGUAGGCUCUUACAAAGGAACUGCGUUUUACGAGAUGGUGAGCUGUAUGUACUGCUGUCUUCUUUUGAUGGCUACCUAGGCUUUUUCUGAAACUGUUCUCAGCUGAAAGUCUUUCUAUUGAGGGAACCCCAACAUGGAUCCUGACAAGAUCUCCUAUGUGAGGCUGAAUGAGGAGAAAGUUAUUGCAAAGUCUGAUAUUUUGUCCCUUCUAAAAACGUACAACUGCUACCACGAGGGAAAAAGCUUUCAGCUUCGCAUUCGUGAGGAAGAGGGCGAGCUGAUCGUGGAGGGUUUACUCAACAUCUCCUGGGGCCUGAAGAGGCCAAUCAGACUCCAAAUGCACGACGACAACGAGCGCUUUCGCUAUGCCUGCACGGGUGCGUGGAGGUCGGAAAGCUCAGAGUCCAGCAGGAAUGAAAACGGUGAGCAGAGUUUUUCACACCAGUUUUGUUUAGAGCCCAACAACAACAAAGUCAGUGCCACACCUGUACCCAGUAUGGAUGGUGCUGAGGAGGACAUUCCUCAACUGCUGAGAACAAGAAGUGAUGCCAGCUUUGUGAAUAUCCAAAGAAGAUCUAAAAUCCACAGCUCUGCCGAUUCACAGAGAAUAAAAAGACAUCGCUUCUCCAUCAAUGGCCAUUUCUACAACCACAAAACAUCAGUUUUUACUCCAUCAUAUGGAUCAGUGACGAAUGUGCGAGUGAACAGCACUUUAACAACACAUCAAGUUCUUAACCUGCUUCUUAAUAAGUUUCGGGUUGAGAAUAAGGCAGAUGAGUUUGCCCUCUACCUAGUCCAUGCAUCAGGGGAGAGAACAAAACUUAAGGACACAGAAUACCCUUUGGUAUCUCGCCUGCUGCAUGGUCCAUGUGAAAAAAUCGCCAGAAUAUUUAUUUUGGAAAAGGACCUUGGUGAAGAGAUUACAUACGAUGUGAGUAUUUUUGUGAGUAUUUCAAAGUUCACAAUAGGUCAUUCAGAAUGUGAUUCCCCUGGCAAACUUAUAUUCUGUUGUUCAAAUAUAGAUACAGUAAACAAUAAUGUCACUUCCAGAUAUCAAGUCUAAUUUUAGGAUCCUACCAAGUGGACUAACAAUGGUACAAAUAUUUCUAUUGCAUAUUUAUUCAAAGGUUGCACAGUAUAUUAAGUUUGAAAUGCCCGUUUUGGACAGUUUCAUCAAGAAACUGAAAGAGGAGGAAGAGAGAGAGAUUUUAAAACUGACAAGAAAGUAAGCAAGUACAAUAUUCUUUGUUUCCUUAACACAACAAUAUAUUCAUUUUUGUCUUUGUUGUACUUUUGUUUUUUACAGAUACAGUGCACUGAGGUCAAUGAUAUUACAGAAAUUGGAUGGCAUCUCUGACAGUGCAAAUUAUGCGUGAGAAAAUGUGCUGAUGGUUUAGAGCAGAGGCAUCUUCUCUAUUGUAUAUUCAACAGCAGUGAGCCACAGAUAGUUUUAGGUUUUUCAUUUUUGGUGAAGACGUCAGCGCAAUAACUAGUAUAAGAAAAGUAUAAUCUACUGGUAUUUAGUAAUUAGCAGCUGUAAGUACUUUUACCCACAAUUCUCAGGUGUUACUUACAAAUGACCUAGAAUGUUAUUUUAUGAUGCAUUUAUGCUCCAUGACAUUAAAAGACAUUUUUUGUCAUUGUAUGUUACAUAAUAUAUACACGCCUGACAAGUUUGUACAGUAACAAUGUUACCUUUUAUACAUUUUAAAAUGAAACUAAUAUAUGAGGAAUUGUUCUGUUGUACAAUAUCAGUGAAAUGCAAUUACCCUGCCUCCUUGUUUAUUUUAGAUGCCUUUUUGCUACACAUAUGUAGCCGAUGUAUUGAAUAUAAUGCAUUGCUUACAAUGUUGUUAUUUAUUUUUGUUUGUUUCUAAGAAAUGCCUUAUACUGUAUGGACAGAGAUGUACAGUAAUUGUCAAUUAUGUGCGUGCCUACCCAUGAUAAGGAGGAGCAAAACUGUGCGUUUAUGUGUGUGUGUUCAAGGACUCAAAGAAAUGUGGUUCCACUGUGGUUUUACUCCUAUAAAAGGACAUUAGCCAUCUUGGUAGAGUUAACUGGAGUUCAAGGACAGAAGGAGGCAUACAGCUUGCACCUGCAAGGCCUUGAGAAGGAUCUUGGGAAAGUUACAACUUGCUUCAAAUCAAGAAGAUUAGAACCUAACUUUGGCGGUAAACAACAGGAGUAUAAAAGUUGAUUGCCUCUUCGGAUACUGAUAUGUCAGUACCCCCGAUACCUAGAAGCCUAGAGCUGAGGACAAGAAACCCGAAUCCCAGAAAUGAAUACACCUUUGAUUCAAAGUGUAAUUAUUGUAUUUUAUACUUUAAUAAUGAACAAUUUGCCUUUACAUUUUUGUUUAUUAUAAAAAGAAAUUGAAUUGAUUACAAAAA
Ctenopharyngodon idella (grass carp) is the source of this 2780-nucleotide RNA transcript. It is a transcript of the gene named Ras association domain family member 4a, with no coding region annotated. NCBI's taxonomy places the organism in Eukaryota, Metazoa, Chordata, Actinopteri, Cypriniformes, Xenocyprididae. The record is from RefSeq and is a predicted model, not a curated record. The transcript has 12 exons.